RNAcentral lists this unclassified non-coding RNA (384 nucleotides) under uncultured Kiritimatiellota bacterium. RNAcentral describes it as "uncultured Kiritimatiellaeota bacterium contains 16S-23S intergenic spacer region". The record is from RNAcentral. Lineage: Bacteria; Pseudomonadati; Kiritimatiellota.
UCCCACUUAUACGGGCAGUCUGUCUAAAGUGCUCGCCGGCUCAUCACCGACGGUGGCAACUAGACACAAGGGUUGCGUUCGUUGCGGGACUUAACCCAACACCUCACGGCACGAACUGACGACAGCCAUGCAGCACCUGUGCAGCACCCUCGAAGGAAUCCCGCUUUCACGGGACGUGCAGCUGCAUGUCAAGCCUUGGUAAGGUUCUUCGCGUUGCAUCGAAUUGAGCCACAUGCUCCUCCGCUUGUGCGGGCCCCCGUCAAUUUCUUUGAGUUUUAACCUUGCGGCCGUACUCCCCAGGCGGUACACUUAACGCGUUAGCUCCGGCACGGAGAGGGUCAAUCCCCCCCACACCAAGUGUACACCGUUUACAGCUAGGACUAC